Molecule: non-coding RNA, 22 nt
Filed under: Mus musculus (house mouse)
Lineage: Eukaryota; Metazoa; Chordata; Mammalia; Rodentia; Muridae
Source: RNAcentral
AGGUGUUUGAGCAGGUGAAUCA